CAGCCGCCGCGGUAAUACGGAGGGCGCGAGCGUUGUCCGGAUUCACUGGGUGUAAAGCGGGUGUAGGCGGUCGGGUAAGUCGGACGUGAAAGCCCGGGGCUCAACCCCGGAAGGGCGUCCGAACCUGCUCGACUUGAGGGCGGGAGAGGGAGGUGGAAUUCCCGGUGUAGCGGUGAAAUGCGUAGAUAUCGGGGGGACCACCAGGGGCGAAGGCGGCCUCCUGGCCCGGUCCUGACGCGGAGACCCGAAAGCGUGGGGAGCAAACCGGAUUAGAUACCCGGGUAGGCCACGCCGUAAACGGUGGGCACUAGGUGUGGGGGGUUAAUCCCUCCGUGCCGAAGCUAACGCAUUAAGUGCCCCGCCUGGGGAGUACGGCCGCAAGGUUGAAACUUAAAGGAAUUGGCGGG
RNAcentral lists this ribosomal RNA (407 nucleotides) under uncultured microorganism. Its description in RNAcentral is "bacterial SSU rRNA". It matches the Rfam family "Bacterial small subunit ribosomal RNA", at positions 509 to 917 of the family's 1533-position model. The record is from RNAcentral.